AACGCACAUUGCGCUCCCUGGCAUUCCUAGGAGCAUGUCUGUCUGAGCGUCAGUACACACCCUCCGCCCGCGUCUUUGUUGCCGCGGGCGGGUUCUGAGGGGGAGAGCGAGAGCACCCCCCCCUCUAAAGUGGAACGACAGCGGCCCGCCUGACCCAUGAAAGACGUAGUAAGAACCUCAAAGACUCAGAAUCGUCCGAGAUUGGAAGGGUAGAGACCUGCCUCGACGCGUAUUACAUCUAAGGUUUGACCUCAGAUCAGACAAGAAUACCCGCUGAACUUAA
RNAcentral lists this unclassified non-coding RNA (283 nucleotides) under Arthrobotrys sp. RNAcentral describes it as "partial contains 5.8S ribosomal RNA, internal transcribed spacer 2, and large subunit ribosomal RNA". RNAcentral also lists the same sequence under 2 other names. The record is from RNAcentral. Lineage: Eukaryota; Fungi; Ascomycota; Orbiliomycetes; Orbiliales; Orbiliaceae.